Non-coding RNA from Caenorhabditis elegans, 21 nucleotides. NCBI's taxonomy places the organism in Eukaryota, Metazoa, Nematoda, Chromadorea, Rhabditida, Rhabditidae. The record is from Ensembl.
UAUCUCCUUCGUUCAGCUAAC